RNAcentral lists this long non-coding RNA (3622 nucleotides) under Malus domestica (apple). RNAcentral describes it as "long non-coding RNA (MDOM_LNC014949)". The record is from RNAcentral. Lineage: Eukaryota; Viridiplantae; Streptophyta; Magnoliopsida; Rosales; Rosaceae.
GGGAGUCAAGAGUCUCAGUGGAAAGGACCUUAUAUGGUUAAACAGGUUUUUCAAAACGGUAAUGUGGACAUUGAACUAGAGGGCAGGGGUUGUGUGCUUAAGGUCAAGAAGUAUCUACUAAAGUCAUUCCAAAGGAAGUUUAGUGCACGCGAGUCACUGACUCUGAAGGAACUAGUGAUCUGACCACCACGUUUCUGUGACAUUUAGCUACAUACUUAAAAUAAAGCGCUUGUUGGGAGGCAACCCAAUUUUUCUAAACUCUUUCCUUAUUUUAUUUUUCGUUUGAUUUUUUUUAAUUAUUAGUUAAAAUUCUAGAUGCAUUUACAUACCUAAGUUUUAAUUAAAAAAAUAUACAGAUUAUAAAAAAUAAAAUAAAAAUUAACAAAAAAAAGUGAAAAAUCCAAAAAUAUUUUGCUUUCUUUAUUUACGCAGUUGAUUUUAGCUCCGUUUUUAAUAUUCGCAUAUAUUGGUUAAUUGCAGGUUGCACUCAUGGAAACUAAGGGAAAAUAGAGACAGAUUAUCCUUUAUUAGAAUCAUGCAUCCAGCAGCAAGUCUACAUCCAUAUCAACCACAUCUACAUUAUGCUGGAAUUCAAGCAAUCAUAUAAGCUCAUUCGAAGAUGCAAGUUUGGGGGUGGUUGUUGCACAUCCAGUACCAAAGCAAAAAUUUUGAUGCAUUCAACAAAGGAAAUAAAUGUCAUUUAUUUAGUUUGAAGGGAUGAGUGUAUACCUUCCAUGUCGACAAAUCAAGACCUUUGCGAGGUGUCAUGCCUUCUAUCAAGUGGAUCUCCGGUUUGAGCAUUCCUUCUUUCGAAUCUGUCGUGGAUUCGACUGUUCUGCACAAAUACCACACUAGUAUAACUACAUGCAAAUGUAAUGACGUAACGUUCUCACGGAUUGGGGUUCAUCAACAACGAAGAAUAAGAUUUUACCUUUGCAAGACCCGGAUCUGCAAUGUAGUAGUUGGUGCUCAUUUUCCUUGCUGUUGUGAACCUUCUCAAUCCUGGACCAAUGCAAACCAACUAUAUCCACAGCAGACCAACAUGCAUCAGUCACAAAAUAAUGGUGCUCAACCAAUUACUAAGAACACAAAAUAAACAAGGGCUGGAUGAUAGAGGUUGUACUUGUAGAUAGAUGAUUUUUUUGGACGAUCGAUCUUGGAUUUACCCAUUUUUGGUACUAGUGUAACCAUUUUCGUUGUGCACCCGAACAUCCUUGCAAAGGAAUCAGAACAGCAUGCGUUAGUGUUUUUCUUUUCUGUCUAAAAUCAUUAGCUGGACAUAUGAAUUGAGCAGAACAGUGUGGAGCUUCAAUGUACCAUCAUUUCAAUGGCAAUAUUUGAUUGUUUUGGAUUUUCGCCAGGAAGAGUGUAUGUGGUUGAGCGGCUAAGGGUGAAGAAGGGUGAGGAAAUGAGAGAAAAAUGGGAAAGAAGGAGAGCUAAUUUUCAUUUUAAAGAGAUAUGGGGUCUGAGAGCAAAAGAGAGAGUGGGCUGAGGAAAAUGAGAGACUUAUUUCUGAUAUGGAUGUGCAUUUGGGUUUUUAGUGAGAGGGUUGGAGUUUCUUGAAAAAAAAAAAACAAUUAGAAGGGAAAGAAAUGGGUGCAUCUGAGCCUUUCUUUUAGAAUCCUAUGGCAUUCAUCAUAUAGAUGAGUGCCCUAUGGCCUGUCAUGUCUGUUUCGAUAGGGACAUUUUUGACAAUGGGAAACAGAGAGCCAUUUAGGGCUCUGGGCUCAAGGGAAUGAAAAUAAGGCAGCAGCUUCUAGGGUUUUUUUUCUUGCAAUGACAAAUGAAGACUGCUGAACCAGUUUCUAUAGUAGUUGUUGCUCACGUUUGACACAAGUGUGGACUUGUUCGUGUUGGUCUGUGCGUCUUCACAAAAAGCCCCAGGUCCUAAUUUUGAAUCCAGGUGAUGCUUUCCUUCUUUUCUGUUUGUUCUAUCAUUUGUUUAUUUUAAUUUCUUUGUUUCUUUUCUAUUUCCCUUUUUCUUUUAGUUUACUUAGUCUAGACUUUUGUUUUAUCUUUUCCCGUUUUGCUUUUUGUUUUUUUUAGUUUCUAUUUAUUUUCCACACCUUGAGGACACAGUGUGAAAUAAGUUUAGGGUGGGAAAGUAAAAUUUUAGGAUUUUAAUUUUUGAGUCGUUAAAAAAAAUUUCAUUCUUUUUAAGUUAAUAUCCAUGGAUUAUUUUAAACGUUAGAACAAAUGGACAUGGUGAAGAUUAAUCCCACAGUACAGUCUUUUCUAUUUAUCGUUGCUUAGACACUAAUUCAUAAAUUAUACUUUGAACUUUGCACUUCACACCAACAUGGUUUAUGGGGAGUGAGAUUGAAACACUUACUUUUAGUCUAAGUUUCAUUUUUAAUUUUUGUUCUAAAUAAAGUAAAGUUAGUAUAUGUUAUAAAGUAAUAAUUGUCUCACCCGAGACUUUGCCUAGUAACCGGGCCAGGCCUACCUAAUCAGCAGUGAUUCUCGCGUCAAACGGUAGAGUUUUGGCAUGGGGCAGGGUGGUUAGUUGGUUUCGUAGCCUUUUCAGCCCGGGUUAAUAAGUCCUUAGGGGUGUUCUACACCUAGUGCCCUAAAGCCCUAGUGGUUUUGGAGUCAUUGACCUAAACCUCGUUACAUGGGUUGGAUCGAAAGCUUAAGUGAACCGACAUUGCACGACCACUACUGUUAUUGAAAAAAAAAAUGUUAUAUAUGAGAAAAAAAAUUGAAAAAGAAAAAGAAAGAUAGUUAUAUUUAAAGUUAGUAUGUGUGAAAUAAAGAAGGACGAGGGGUAAGGGUUUUAGUCGAAUCUCCUUAACUAUGUUGGUUCACUUUACAUCAAAGGAAGUUUGUGAAUUCUUUUCUAAUUGAUUCUAAAUGGCUUAGACUCUAUGGUGGGAUUGGUUGGAACUUUUGAAAAGAUGUACUAAUUUUUAACGUGUUCUAUGGAUUGCAACUUUGAAGGUGAAAAUUUUUGUCAGUUAGUUUUAGUUAAGUCUUUAGUUUGUUAGUUUUUAUUUUUGUUUUCUAGUUUUAUUUUGCUUGAGGAUAAGCAAAAAGUUAAGUUUGGGGGUAUUUUAAUGAGUAGAUUUUAUAUUAUAUAUUUUACCCUAUUCUUAGUAUAUUUUGGUAAAUAUUUUGGAAGAAUUUUGAUGCUUUGAAUUGUAUUUUCAAUAUAGAACUUUCGAUUUCCUCUGGAGAUAAACAGGACCAAAUUGACGAAUUUUGGAGUAAUUCCAGUUGGAGGAUGUUCGUGAGUCACUUAGCUUGAUCGUAUCAAAUUUUUGAAUUUUCCACCAAGCAGUUAUUUUCUGGUGAUAAAAUAAAGGAGCGACGCGCGGUGCUGGAAAAUGACGUUUCUGGGCUUAAAUUGCAGUUUUGGAGCCGAAGGUGACCUCGGAUGGCUUCGUGGCCUUCUGGAGAUGUGUUCGGAACGUCCUAAUCUUUAAAACAAGCUAUCUUGGGCCGGAUUUGGAAGAUAUCUGAGGAUAAAACGUGGCUGGACAAGUACUUGGCAGAUUCCCCUAGUUUAAUUAGGGUUUUAUUUUCUAAGAUAUUUUAUUAUUUUUCUUAGUUUCCUAAUUGGAAUAAGAGACCUAUGUUUUAGGGUUUGUGGAUGGCUUAGCAAAUAUAUUGCUUUGCCGUU